Molecule: long non-coding RNA, 443 nt
Organism: Bombus pascuorum
Lineage: Eukaryota; Metazoa; Arthropoda; Insecta; Hymenoptera; Apidae
Exons: 3
Source: RefSeq, a predicted model, not a curated record
UUUUUCAUUUAUUUUUCCCUAGAAAUGAUUGUUGGAAAACCUAACCUAAAUAUUAUCACAAAAAUAUCAAAUAAAUAAACUUAAAUGUACAUUUAAUUCGAAGUAAAAAUAUUCCAGCAGAAGAGAACUUAUUGUAUUCGCACAACGAACUGCCUCCAACUGGACCGAACUGGAACUACGCAGUAUCGUUUUUUGUUUGGUCUGGAGAUACCGAGUUCCAUGUGGAACGCUCACAGGAACUCAUGCCAGAGGAGUUGGAAAAUCUUCGAACGUCUCUUUAUGCAAAAAUAUAGAGAACACGAUGGAGGACGCAGGAAUUGGGACGCUCCGUGAUCUAGGACGCAAUUUGGCAAGUUGGACUUGCACAUACUCGCGAGAUGGAGCACAAACAUUCUAAAUAAGAAUGAAGUUAGCAAGCUGAACAAAUGACCAAAUAUUUCACA